This 67-nucleotide transfer RNA is filed under the name Valvata hokkaidoensis. RNAcentral describes it as "tRNA-Ile". Lineage: Eukaryota; Metazoa; Mollusca; Gastropoda; Valvatidae. The record is from RNAcentral.
AAAUAGCCGCCGGAUGAUCGGGUAUCAUUGAUGUUGAUAGAUAUGUUAAUUUUUUUAACGCUAUUUU